GACGAACGCUGGCGGCGUGCUUAACACAUGCAAGUCGAACGAUGAACCGGGUGCUUGCUCUCGGGGAUUAGUGGCGAACGGGUGAGUAACACGUGAGCAACCUGCCCCUGACUCUGGGUUAAGCGCUGGAAACGGCGUCUAAUACUGGAUAUGUCCCGUCACCGCAUGGUGUGCGGGUGGAAAGAUUUUUCGGUUGGGGAUGGGCUCGCGGCCUAUCAGCUUGUUGGUGAGGUAAUGGCUCACCAAGGCGUCGACGGGUAGCCGGCCUGAGGGGGUGACCGGCCACACUGGGACUGAGACACGGCCCAGACUCCUACGGGAGGCAGCAGUGGGGAAUAUUGCACAAUGGGCGGAAGCCUGAUGCAGCAACGCCGCGUGAGGGAUGACGGCCUUCGGGUUGUAAACCUCUUUUAGCAGGGAAGAAGCGAGAGUGACGGUACCUGCAGAAAAAGCACCGGCUAACUACGUGCCAGCCGCCGCCGUAA
This 485-nucleotide ribosomal RNA is filed under the name uncultured bacterium. RNAcentral's name for it is "partial 16S ribosomal RNA". It matches the Rfam family "Bacterial small subunit ribosomal RNA", at positions 28 to 523 of the family's 1533-position model. The record is from RNAcentral.